Molecule: ribosomal RNA, 434 nt
Filed under: uncultured bacterium
Lineage: Bacteria
Description: partial 16S ribosomal RNA
Rfam family: Bacterial small subunit ribosomal RNA
Source: RNAcentral
AGCGAACGCUGGCGGCAGGCUUAACACAUGCAAGUCGAGCGGGCACUUUCGGGUGUCAGCGGCGGACGGGUGAGUAACGCGUGGGAACGUGCCCUCUGGUUCGGAAUAACUCAGGGAAACUUGAGCUAAUACCGGAUACGCCCUUUUGGGGAAAGGCUUGCUGCCGGAGGAUCGGCCCGCGUCUGAUUAGCUAGUUGGUGAGGUAACGGCUCACCAAGGCGACGAUCAGUAGCUGGUCUGGGAGGAUGCUCAGCCACACUGGGACUGAGACACGGCCCAGACUCCUACGGGAGGCAGCAGUGGGGAAUAUUGGACAAUGGGCGCAAGCCUGAUCCAGCCAUGCCGCGUGAGUGAUGAAGGCCUUAGGGUUGUAAAGCUCUUUUAUCCGGGACGAUAAUGACGGUACCGGAGGAAUAAGCCCCGGCUAACUUCGU